CGGCUGUUGGGAGCCGAUCACGGCUUGGUGCUAGGGAUGAAUCCGGACGGAAAGACGUUGCAGGUGUUCGGGUGCUGGGCGAUUGCUGGAUCGGAGGCGUUACGAUCGGAAGAAGAGGCGGGGGAUCCGGUCGCUGGCUGCACCGCAUGGGACUCGUGGCCGGAACGGGCUGAUUGGAGGAAUUGAUUCUCGACGGUUGGACCGGCUCGUUGAUUGCAGCGGAGGAGUGGUCGCCGGCGGAGCAUCCGAGAAUGAAGACGAUGCCAUAGUUGGAUGCGGAAGACGCCCGGCUGAUUUCCCUCUUGGAUUUGGCACGCGGCUGAUGGAAGAUCGGGUUGUUUUGAUGGAAGGAAAUGAGUGAGGCGGGAUCACGGGAAGGAUUGGCAGCGGGAGGAAGAAGAUAAACAGUGGGAUUAUAAUAUAUAUAUUAUUAUUUAUUUAUUUAUUUAUUUAUUUAUUUAUUUUACACUGUUCAUAUGAACAGUGUUUUCACGGGACACUGUUCAUAUGAACAGUGAAUUCAGUAAUUCUUCCCGAAAUUAUUUUUAUUUAUUUUAUUAUUUUUGUUUUAAAAUUAUAAAUUUUAUAUGAAGGCACGCAAGGAAUUGGUUGGGAAUUGACUUUGGGUUUGAGGUGGGUCAUGAUCGUUGAUUUGCUUGAACUUACUCUCGAGCCCAAUGUCAUUUAAUUUUAAUUUUUGCUAAACUGCUUCAGACUGGACUCAACAGGGCUAAAAGCAGGAUCGUGACUUAAUAAGAGGGUUAAUCAAAUAUUUUCCUAUACAAUUAUAACUUUUAAUCUAAUCAAGACCAAAGCCCAUUUAAUUAUAACCUUAGCCAGGUCAACACAAUCUCCUUAUAUGUUUUUCUAUAGUUUUCAUUAAAGAUUGCAAUCAAGAGAGAGACAAGUUUAGAAUCUGGUUUAAGAAAAGAAUUAUUUACCUCUUACCAUAAUUUAAAUUUAAUUCAAUGUUUAUUCAAUUUCAUGGUAAAAUAUGUAUUUAUCAGUUUAAAAAUAUUGAUAAGUGCUAUAGAAAGAUAACUAAAUUAU
This 1050-nucleotide long non-coding RNA is filed under the name Phoenix dactylifera (date palm). RNAcentral describes it as "long non-coding RNA (PDAC_LNC012144)". Lineage: Eukaryota; Viridiplantae; Streptophyta; Magnoliopsida; Arecales; Arecaceae. The record is from RNAcentral.